RNAcentral lists this ribosomal RNA (397 nucleotides) under uncultured bacterium. RNAcentral describes it as "bacterial SSU rRNA". It matches the Rfam family "Bacterial small subunit ribosomal RNA", at positions 521 to 916 of the family's 1533-position model. The record is from RNAcentral.
UAAUACGUAGGGUGCGAGCGUUAAUCGGAAUUACUGGGCGUAAAGCGUGCGCAGGCGGUUUUGUAAGCCAGAUGUGAAAUCCCCGGGCUUAACCUGGGAACUGCAUUUGGGACUGCAAGGCUAGAGUACGGCAGAGGGGGGUAGAAUUCCUGGUGUAGCAGUGAAAUGCGUAGAUAUCAGGAGGAAUACCGAUGGCGAAGGCAGCCCCCUGGGUCGAUACUGACGCUCAUGCACGAAAGCGUGGGGAGCAAACAGGAUUAGAUACCCUGGUAGUCCACGCCCUAAACGAUGUCAACUAGUUGUUGGGAGCCUUACCGCUCUUAGUAACGCAGCUAACGCGUGAAGUUGACCGCCUGGGGAGUACGGUCGCAAGAUUAAAACUUAAAUGAAUUGACGG